GAAAACCAACUGGGAUUACCUUAGUAACGGCGAGUGAAGCGGUAAAAGCUCAAAUUUGAAAUCUGGUACUUUCAGUGCCCGAGUUGUAAUUUGUAGAAUUUGUCUUUGAUUAGGUCCUUGUCUAUGUUCCUUGGAACAGGACGUCAUAGGGGGUGGAGAAUCCCGUUUGGCGAGGAUACCUUUUCUCUGUAAGACUUUUUCGAAGAGUCGAGUUGUUUGGGAAUGCAGCUCAAAGUGGGUGGUAAAUUCCAUCUAAAGCUAAAUAUUGGCGAGAGACCGAUAGCGAACAAGUACAGUGAUGGAAAGAUGAAAAGAACUUUGAAAAGAGAGUGAAAAAGUACGUGAAAUUGUUGAAAGGGAAGGGCAUUUGAUCAGACAUGGUGUUUUUUGCAUGCACUCGCCUCUCGUGGGCUUGGGCCUCUCAAAAAUUUCACUGGGCCAACAUCAAUUCUGGCAGCAGGAUAAAUCAUUAAGAAUGUAGCUACUUCGGUAGUGUUAUAGCUUUUUUGGAAUACUGUUAGCCGGGAUUUGA
Molecule: ribosomal RNA, 532 nt
Filed under: uncultured Hanseniaspora
Lineage: Eukaryota; Fungi; Ascomycota; Saccharomycetes; Saccharomycodales; Saccharomycodaceae
Description: eukaryotic LSU rRNA
Rfam family: Eukaryotic large subunit ribosomal RNA
Source: RNAcentral